GUGCCAGCCGCCGCGGUAAUACGUAGGUGGCGAGCGUUGUCCGGAUUUAUUGGGCGUAAAGGGUGCGUAGACGGUUUUUUAAGUGGGAUGUGAAAUCCACAGGCUUAACUUGUGAAUUGCAUUCCAAACUGGAAGGCUUGAGUACAGGAGAGGAAAGCGGAAUUCCCAGUGUAGCGGUGAAAUGCGUAGAGAUUGGGAGGAACACCAGUGGCGAAGGCGGCUUUCUGGACUGUAACUGACGUUGAUGCACGAAAGCGUGGGGAGCAAACAGGAUUAGAUACCCUGGUAGUCCACGCCGUAAACGAUGGAUACUAGGUGUGGGGGGCUACGCCCUCUGUGCCGCAGUUAACACAUUAAGUAUCCCGCCUGGGGAGUACGAUCGCAAGAUUAAAACUUAAAGGAAUUGACGG
RNAcentral lists this ribosomal RNA (410 nucleotides) under uncultured bacterium. Its description in RNAcentral is "bacterial SSU rRNA". It matches the Rfam family "Bacterial small subunit ribosomal RNA", at positions 505 to 916 of the family's 1533-position model. The record is from RNAcentral.